Molecule: long non-coding RNA, 241 nt
Organism: Bactrocera neohumeralis
Lineage: Eukaryota; Metazoa; Arthropoda; Insecta; Diptera; Tephritidae
Exons: 2
Source: RefSeq, a predicted model, not a curated record
CGGCAUUCGUGUUCUUUCUUUCGUAGUACAUAGUUGCAUUUGCGUAUAUUUUUUUGAAAUUAAUAUUUUGAAUAUAUUUAAAAAAUUUAAUUUCAUCUUUUGAAAAUGGAGUAUGAGGAAAAAAUCGAAUUAAUUAAAGAUAUUGUGAAAUGUAUGGAGGAAGCCAUACUUAUUGAUUCAGACGAUAGUAAAAAGGGUGAUAUAUCUUUGUUUUAAUAAAUAAAAUGUAUUUCUUAAUUGA